AUGGCCUGGACCCCUCUCCUCCUCACUUUUCUUGCUCACUGCAAAGGAUCCUGGACUCAGUCUAUGCUGAGUCAGAUACCCUCUGUCUCUGGGAACCCAGGCCAGCGGGUUAGUCUCUCCUGUACUGGAAGCAGCACCAACAUUGGUCGCUACAAUGUGCAGUAGUACCAACAGUUCCCAGACACUGCUCCCAAACUCCUCAUCUAUGGUAAUAGCAACCGACCUUCAGGGAUUCUGGAUCGAUUUUUAGGUUCCAAGUCUGGCAGCUCUGGCUCCCUGACCAUCAUUGGACUGCAGCGUGAGGAUGAGGCCGUUUAUUACUGUCAGUCGUUUGAUAUCAGCCUGGGUGCUCACACAGUGCUCCAGGCCAACACAGGGAAGUGA
Non-coding RNA from Chrysochloris asiatica (Cape golden mole), 384 nucleotides. The record is from the annotation of a RefSeq genome assembly. NCBI's taxonomy places the organism in Eukaryota, Metazoa, Chordata, Mammalia, Afrosoricida, Chrysochloridae.